AGGAUGAACGCUGGCGGCGUGCUUAACACAUGCAAGUCGAACGGUGAAGUGAGGAGCUUGCUCCUUGCGGAUCAGUGGCGAACGGGUGAGUAACACGUGAGUAACCUGCCCUUGACUCUGGGAUAAGCACUGGAAACGGUGUCUAAUACCGGAUACGACCUCCGAAGGCAUCUUCUGGAAGUGGAAAGAAUUUCGGUCAAGGAUGGACUCGCGGCCUAUCAGCUAGUUGGUGAGGUAACGGCCCACCAAGGCGACGACGGGUAGCCGGCCUGAGAGGGUGACCGGCCACACUGGGACUGAGACACGGCCCAGACUCCUACGGGAGGCAGCAGUGGGGAAUAUUGCACAAUGGGCGCAAGCCUGAUGCAGCAACGCCGCGUGAGGGACGACGGCCUUCGGGUUGUAACCUCUUUAGUAGGGAAGAAGCGAAGUGACGGUACCUGCAGAAAAGCACCGGCUAACUACGUGCCAGCAGCCGCGGU
This 482-nucleotide ribosomal RNA is filed under the name uncultured bacterium. Its description in RNAcentral is "SSU rRNA". It matches the Rfam family "Bacterial small subunit ribosomal RNA", at positions 26 to 521 of the family's 1533-position model. The record is from RNAcentral.